Molecule: ribosomal RNA, 410 nt
Filed under: Anguilla malgumora
Lineage: Eukaryota; Metazoa; Chordata; Actinopteri; Anguilliformes; Anguillidae
Description: partial 16S rRNA
Rfam family: Bacterial large subunit ribosomal RNA
Source: RNAcentral
GACCGUGCGAAGGUAGCGUAAUCAUUUGUCUUUUAAAUAGAGACCUGUAUGAAUGGCAUAACGAGGGUUUAACUGUCUCCUUCCCCUAGUCAAUGAAAUUGAUCUGCCCGUGCAGAAGCGGACAUAAAUACAUAAGACGAGAAGACCCUAUGGAGCUUUAGACAAAAGAUCAAACAUGUAAAGAGACCAAAAACCCAAAAGGAACACAAAGACCGUAAAACCAGACGUAAACUGAUCCAAAUGUCUUCGGUUGGGGCGACCAUGGGGGAAAGAAAAACCCCCACGAGGAACAGGGAAUACCCCUAAACCUAGAGAGACACCUCCAAGUAACAGAAAAUCUGACCAAAAAUGACCCAGGAUAUUAAUCCUGAUCAACGAACCAAGUUACCCUAGGGAUAACAGCGCAAUCC